GACGAGCGCUGGCGGCGUGCCUAAUACAUGCAAGUCGAGCGAUGAAGAUUGGUGCUUGCGCCAAUGUGAAGAGCAGCGGACGGGUGAGUAACGCGUGGGGAAUCUGCCUUUGAGCGGGGGACAACAUUUGGAAACGAAUGCUAAUACCGCAUAAUAAAUUGAAACAUAAGGUUCAAGUGUGAAAGAAGCAAUUGCAUCACUUAAAAGUGAUCCCGGGUUGUAUUAGCUAGUUGGUGAGGUAAAGGCCCAACAAGGCGAGGAUACAUAACCGCCCCGAGAGGGUGAUCUGCCACGCUGGGACGGGAGCACGGCCCACACCACUGCGGCAGGCAGCCGGACGGGAUCCUCAGCAAUGGACGAAAGGCUGACCGAGCAACGCCGCGGGAGUGAAUGAGGUUGUCGGGUCGUGAAACUCUGUUAGUCGAGAAGAACGUAAGUGAGAGUUGACCGCUCAUCUAGUGACGGUACCUACCCAGAAAGCGACGGCUAACUACGUG
RNAcentral lists this ribosomal RNA (497 nucleotides) under uncultured bacterium. Its description in RNAcentral is "partial 16S ribosomal RNA". It matches the Rfam family "Bacterial small subunit ribosomal RNA", at positions 28 to 507 of the family's 1533-position model. The record is from RNAcentral.